GGGAUUGUGGCUCAGUGGUAGAGUGUUCACUUACCACGUGUGAGGCCCUGGGUUCAACCCUCAGCGCCA
RNAcentral lists this transfer RNA (69 nucleotides) under Ictidomys tridecemlineatus (thirteen-lined ground squirrel). RNAcentral describes it as "Spermophilus tridecemlineatus (thirteen-lined ground squirrel) tRNA". It matches the Rfam family "tRNA". Rfam says of the family: Transfer RNA (tRNA) molecules are approximately 80 nucleotides in length. Their secondary structure includes four short double-helical elements and three loops (D, anti-codon, and T loops). Lineage: Eukaryota; Metazoa; Chordata; Mammalia; Rodentia; Sciuridae. The record is from Rfam by way of RNAcentral.